CUCACAAUGAGGCUUCUGGAGUUUGAUUGACACAUAAAUAUGGCCACAUUGAGUUCUUGUAGUGGAUGUUGGUAACAGUUGAUCCAUUGUAAGAGUAGGAUGCGUAUUUAGAUAGAAUCUAUCGACCUUGAUAGAGAGAAGAAGUUCUAUGAGAUUUAAGAGGCUAAGUUCGUGAGUCUAUGGCCAUAGUAGUGUGAUUGAUGAAAAUUUUUUUUAUAAAAAUUAUAAUUGGACUCGAGCUAAUCAAAUCUAUCAUAUGAUUGAUGAUAAGAUUUGAUGAUUUAUUCAUGACCUACCAUCUAGUCAGAACUCAUGAUAGAGGGAUUAAAUCACAUGAGAACUACACCUUGAGGUUCUUUUUCUGUUCUGCUAGGUUGUCAUUAUAUACUGCUAGAUAUCAUUGAUGGAUUGUGAGAGCUCACUAGGAUUAUGUAGGAUCGAUAAUCCUUAUUGAGUUAGAGUAGAAUCAUUCUGAUUCAUUAAAAAGAGUUUCAAUGAUGCUAUGAUAG
Molecule: long non-coding RNA, 509 nt
Filed under: Elaeis guineensis (African oil palm)
Lineage: Eukaryota; Viridiplantae; Streptophyta; Magnoliopsida; Arecales; Arecaceae
Description: long non-coding RNA (EGUI_LNC053037)
Source: RNAcentral